AAUCGGCUUGAUGAUUUAAAGGAGAAAAAGGAAUGUUGAAGCUGGCCUCACAGCUUUACAGUCUGCUAUGUAGCAUGUAGGCUAAUUUCAAAAAAAA
Molecule: small nucleolar RNA, 97 nt
Filed under: Octodon degus (degu)
Lineage: Eukaryota; Metazoa; Chordata; Mammalia; Rodentia; Octodontidae
Description: Small nucleolar RNA SNORA61 (ENSODEG00000023247.1)
Source: RNAcentral